UGUUAUUGCAUUGCUUUGAGGAUGAAUUCUUGAUCUUUUGAUGUUCUUUCACUCCCUUGUGGCUCCAUCUUCAAAUCUAAAAUUUAAAUGACAAAAAAAAAUAGAUUGCAACCUCACAAAUCACUCCCUCACGUGUUUACUCUCGUAGUAUGGGCACUCGUGUUUCACUCAAUUUUGGCUUUUACCCUCUUUUGAGCUCACACUCUCUUGCUUUUUACCACUCAAGAAAUCUUUUAUAACUUUAUACAAAAGGGUCAAUUCAAACAACAAU
This 271-nucleotide long non-coding RNA is filed under the name Carica papaya (papaya). RNAcentral's name for it is "long non-coding RNA (CPAP_LNC002282)". The record is from RNAcentral. Lineage: Eukaryota; Viridiplantae; Streptophyta; Magnoliopsida; Brassicales; Caricaceae.